Molecule: ribosomal RNA, 253 nt
Filed under: uncultured bacterium
Lineage: Bacteria
Description: partial 16S ribosomal RNA
Rfam family: Bacterial small subunit ribosomal RNA
Source: RNAcentral
UACGUAGGGUGCAAGCGUUAAUCGGAAUUACUGGGCGUAAAGCGUGCGCAGGCGGUUAUGCAAGACAGAGGUGAAAUCCCCGGGCUCAACCUGGGAACUGCCUUUGUGACUGCAUAGCUAGAGUACGGUAGAGGGGGAUGGAAUUCCGCGUGUAGCAGUGAAAUGCGUAGAGAUGUGGAGGAAUACCGAUGGCGAAGGCAGCCCCCUGGGAUAACACUGACGCUCAUGCACGAAAGCGUGGGGAGCAAACAGG